Molecule: long non-coding RNA, 4870 nt
Organism: Meriones unguiculatus (Mongolian gerbil)
Lineage: Eukaryota; Metazoa; Chordata; Mammalia; Rodentia; Muridae
Exons: 3
Source: RefSeq, a predicted model, not a curated record
UUUUCUCUACACAGGGCAAUGAAUGGCUGACUUGGCACAAGCAUUAAAGAGCAGGAAGCCAAGAAAUAGAAUCAAGUAAAAAAUGAUUUUAUGGUUGUUAUUCUUCCUAAGACUAUCUGUGCUCCCAGAGGCACAUGUCAUAGACAAGAAAAUGCCAUUGGAAAUUCAGGUCCCUGCAUGGAGGGGCUGUUGGUCAUUUGGAAAGUGUGUGAUUGAGUGAGACAGACAUCUCUAGGAAUGCUCCCAGACCUACUCAGAAUUCAAGGCUGUGCACCUCCCGGUUGCUCAUAACACAGGGGUUGCUUUAGCUUUGUUUAUUCACUGCUCAAAAGUAAUGACACAGGGCAACAACAAGAUAUCCAAAAGGAGCCCUGGUGAGGAUCCAGUAUUGAUGGUGUAGCGGGGACCAGAGGCCUCAAAUCAGGCCAGUGACUCAUUGCAAUCAACAUUUGCAAGAGACAAGGACUCUCGAGGCUGCGUAACUGAGUGACGUGUGCGCAACGCUGAUUUCCACCUAUACGACUUCCUUCUUACGAGUGGAUCAUGGGACUGGCUUUAGGUUAAAACCCCAUGUGUGACUUUUCCAGUUUGAAAAUGAGGAGUUGUUCGGGUCUUCCACAUCGGGCAUCAUGGGAAAAGCUGCUCUCCUUAUACAUGACUCAGUUCCCAAGCUGCUGCGUCAUGAUCUGCAGAGGGCAAGACAUUCAGGAAUUUCUGGCUUGCCGUGUUCUUCUACUUAUCUGUAUUCCCUGUCCAGGUUCCUCAUUAUUGUAUCCUCAGAUGGGCUUGUCUCCUGAGAUGCCUGUAUCUGCAAAAGCAAGAAACCUUGAAGAUACUUUUUAUACCUUGACCCUGUACUUGAAUAUUUUUGAUUCCAAGGAGUUCUUAUUGAUUCCCCACCAGGCUCCCUCGGUUCAGGAAACCUCCCCCCUCAGAGCUUUUGUUUGAGAUGACCUGAUGUCACCCUCAUGAUCCUUACUGGAGACAUGAAUCGUGGGAGAGUCAACACUUUCACUAGUUUGACCUCAUGCUUAUAACUAUUACACUAAUGACAGAAUGCUUGACAGUUACUGUCAUUUUGACAUGUUUUAGCCAAUGACUCCACUGCCUAGGAGCUUAGCUUAACUCUGCUCAUUUCUUGGCAGAUAAUAGUGCUUCCAUGCAGAGGAAUAUGAUUUCCUUUAACAAUCACAUCUUUACUUAUUCUGGGAUAUGCACAUGUGCAUGUAUGUAUGCGAGCACGCAUGCUAAGGCGCUCAUGUGGAACUCAGAAGACAGCUUGUGGGAGGUGGCUUUCUCCUUCCGUCUUGUGGAUCCUAGGGUUUGAAUUUAGGUUCUCAGAUGAAUGUUGGCAGCACUUACUUUUACUCACUGACUCACCUCUGUGGCCUGAGCGAUCCUAUUUCAGCUGCAGCCUUACACCCCAAAUCUAAGCACUGUGAUUAAAACCAGGAGUCCAGCCACUGAAUCAUACCUUGGAGUUGCACAUACCGAGGGGGAAGCAGCCAGGACAACUUACUUUAUGGGUCUUCACUGUAAGACUCAACUCUUGAGGUGUUUACAUCUGUGCUGUAACCUGCCUUCCCCUUUCCAUGAACCAAGAUCUUAACCAAUGCUGUCUUUAAUGAAAUAAUUGGUAUUUACUGAAUAAGAAAUCCGUGCCCUGUAUUAUGUUGAUGAUAUGGUGAUAAAAACACCUCAGAAGAUUUCAUCACAAUAUUGAAUCAAAAUACGAAUGAGUAAUGCUUGCAAACAGAUGAGCAUACAUUUUGCUUGUUGGGAAUUCAUGCUUUAUCCUAGCAGCACACUGAUUCCCCAGCUUGUGGAGACAAGGAGACAAACAUCUGUGCCACCUUUCAGUUUUGAUUCAUGAAGGCACUUUCUUACUAUACAACCCUCGCUGGACUGGAAAACACGUGUAGAUGAGAAUGCCUUGAACUCAGAGUGAUGUUUCUGCCCCUGCCUCUUCCUAAGUGCUAGAGUUACAGUUACAUACCCCCAUAUCCAGCCUGCUUCCUGUUUUGCGAUAGAAGUAAAAACUAAUAUUCUUAAUAUAAGAAUGAGAAUCGUUCAAUAAACUCUAAAAUUGAAAAAAAAAACAAAUAGUGAAGUAAAUUCUAGAAAGGGGUAAGCCUGAACGGAGGAAAGAAAGAAAAGAAGCUAGCUCUGUUUGGGGAAAUGAGACUCAGAAAUAAAAUAAGGAUAGGCAUUUCUGCUUAUCAAUAUGCCUGAGCCCCAGAUAACAGGGAUCAUGGGUCCACCGGGAGAAGGCCACCCCUGGGCUGUGGGAAUGGUGCUAGUGAGAAACUCAAGAGUUCCUUCUCAUCUUUAUCACUCUCAGCAUAUUUUUGUAAAUAACAAAUCGCGUAAUACUGGGCUCUUUGGCUACUGUCGUUGUGGAUGGAUCACCAGUCCCAGGGACAUGUCAUGUUGAAAAGUUGUCUUCAUCAAGGACAAUCUAUUUCCUAAAACUAUGCCUCAAGAGCAUUUUCAGUGGUCAGUCAGGGCAACCGCUUCUGGCUUGGGACUGAGAGAUUUUGUCUGAACUUUCUUUAACCUGAUGCUUCACAAAUAAGAACAGGUUUGCCAUUCUGAGCGACAUCUUGGAUGUCUGGAAAUGUCUUAGCUGUCAUGCUGGGGUGUUUGGGUAUGCCCACGUGGAGGCCAGGGAUGCUGCUAACCAAUAUACGCUUUCGAAGGCAGCGCCAUUGCCCCCCAGCAAGGAAUAUCUGAUCCCAAAUUGCAAAAAUACCGAGAUUGAGGAACAGUAUGUUAAAAUAAUCUUUUGUUCCUUGAGGAACAGUGAUUUUCAUCCAGAGAAACAACUUAAGCAACCAACAGCGGUAAAGGCUUAUUUAAUUUUCUACUGGGUUUAGAGUUCAGACCUUUUGAGCCCCAGAACAGAAUGGAAGAAUUCGGUGGCUUGCUGGUCCAUGCUAACAGUAAUUUUCUCAUAGCAUUAUCUACUCACAGCUCUUUCCUCUUUUAACCUUCCUGAUGAUAUUGAAAAAUCCCAAUCUACGGUGUCCUGAUGAACUCAAAGAAUAGGGAAUAGCAGCCAAGAAGCAUAUUAUAUUUGACAGGGAAAUUAUGAAAAAGGCAGUCCUUACCAGGUUCACUUCCUUUCACUGAGUUUCCCCACUAGCUACUUUUUCUCUGGUUCUGGCUGGAGUCUUUCUAGAUUUGCCCUUUUUUUGGCUAUAAGAUGCUUCAUAAAUCCCUUUGGGGUGAAGCCUGAUAGCUGAGUUCUGAUGGGUUAAUUGCAUUUAAUCCGCUCAUUUAUGAAUGCCACCAAAGAUUAAAGCACGUGAAAAAUUAAAUAAUGUGAGAUUGCAUUGACUCUGUGGGAGAAAUAUUCUUGACCCUUAGCAAAUCUUGUCCUUGCUUCAUUUUGGUGAAGUUUAUUGGCUUUGAGCAGGCUUCUUAAGUCUUUUCACUUGUGAGUCCUUUGUGUUCAAGAAAUAUAUAUUUUUUGGACAUUGGGUAUACAGAUAUAAAAUACAUAUACAAAUCAAACAUUAAUUAAUAAAGACUUAUUAAGAAAUUUGCUUAAAAUCAGUCUUUGGUAUACAUAUAAUUUUUUCAUUUAUUAAGGAAGAAAGCAGACUUGCAUAUUAAUAGCAUUAAUGUGCUUGUUUAAUGUUACAUAAAGAACUAUAUCUUGGGUGAAUAUUUGCUACUAUAGGAUGUACAGACUCUUCACCAUUUUUAAGAGUUGAUCUGUGUUUUUAUAUUUUAAUUGUCAACGUUGAGAAUGUCAUUUCACGUAUUCAACAAAGUGGCAGAAGCAUACCAAAUAUCAUUUCAGACAUCGUUGGAAACUCUGUCCUAACCCCAUGCCCAAAAUUUAUUUAACAAUUUUUAAAUAUAAUACAGGUCAGCAACUCAAUCAGUGAACGUUAAACUCAAACAACCCAACAGUGCAACCCAGACAUACAUAUUCGAUACCUAUGUGUUGAGGAAUGGCAAUUAAAAACAAAACAAAACAAAACAAAACAAAAAAAACUACUUGAAGUCUUCAUUUUCCGUAAUCAAACUAUUAUGUCUCUAUAAGAGCAGAAAAUUUGAAUGUACAGUGCAAACGCUGCAUUUCAUGACUUUUAAUAUUCCUAAACCCGAGCUGGGGUGUUUCAGACACUAUUAGCUGGUGUUGCUUAAGGCGACGGUGCAUGCUGCUCAUGUUGGGUGCUCAGAAACAACCAGCACGAUGCGUAGAACUAAGAGCUGCCAGAAGCACCUUGCUGUCACUGUGCACUUGAGGUUGAAUUAAUUUUUGAUUGUCACACAUUCAGAAACCUUUUAUUCUUGCCAUUUUUUUCCCAUCAGCCUCACUUUGAGUUACAUGUUCUCAUGUAGGAUUUUAGGUCACAGUUUAAGAAGCUGGUGACCUAGUUUGUGGAAUGGUAAGCAUUUGAGACACCCUUCAGACAAGAGAUUCCUAUUAUCAAGGCUGCAGAGGAAGGGUUUAGAGGGCACGGAGCCUGCUCUCUUAAACUGCUGAGGGAGCGGAGACUCCAGGCAGGUAAGGGGCUAGUACUGGGUGACCCGUGAGUAGCAGUCCUUGGUCUGGAGUUCAGGUUGUUUUAUGAGUCCAGUGGUCUUAUGGUUUGAUUUUGUACUGUAGAUCAUAUUCAUCUCUGUGUGGUCAGAGGUGCCCAGAAUGCACUGCAGUAGAGUUGGACCUAUUUUUUCCUUGUAUAUGUACACAUCACUUCAGAGCAUUAAAGCUUCUCUUAUGUAUGUUAUGUCAUACCAAAAAUGCUUUAUUGCAUUAAUAGAACACCAUUUUUGUUUCCGUUGAUGAAAGGAAGUGAACACUCAGAGAUAGGAAGUAACAUUUAAAGGAAAGCAACUAAACCAAAAACGAAAU